Molecule: ribosomal RNA, 701 nt
Filed under: uncultured Syndiniales
Lineage: Eukaryota; Dinophyceae; Syndiniales
Description: SSU rRNA
Rfam family: Eukaryotic small subunit ribosomal RNA
Source: RNAcentral
CAUGUCUAAGUAUAAGCUUUUAUACGGUGAAACUGCGAACGGCUCAUUACCACUUUUAUCGUCUCCUUGACAGUCAUCCAGUUUUGGAUACCCAUGGUAAUUCUAGAGCUAAUACAUAUGUACAGACCCGACUUCGCGGAAGGGUUGUGCUUAUUAGAUACUGAACCAGCCCACUUCGGUGGUCUCGAGUUGACUCAUAGUAACCAGCGAAUCGCAUGCUUCGGCGGCGAUGUGUCAUCCGAGUUUCUGACCUAUCAGCUUCCGACGGUAGGGUAUUGGCCUACCGUUGCUUUGACGGGUAACGGAGAAUUAGGGUUCGAUUCCGGAGAGGGAGCCUGCGAAACGGCUACCACAUCUAAGGAAGGCAGCAGGCGCGCAAAUUACCCAAUCCUGACACAUUUUUUUAGUGACAAGAAAUACCAAUAUUAGGCAUCUACGUCUAGUAAUUGGAAUGAGUGAGAUUCACAACGCUUCACGAGUAUCAAUUGGAGGGCAAGUCUGGUGCCAGCAGCCGCGGUAAUUCCAGCUCCAAUAGCGUAUAUUAAAGUUGUUGCGGUUAAAAAGCUCGUAGUUGGAUUUCUGUCGGUGAGUUGCAGUCCGGCCUCUGUGUUAGGUACUUGUUACGCCACCGGCAUCUUCCUGGGGACUGUAUCUGCUCUUCACUGAGUGGUGCAUAAUUCCAGGACUUUUACUUUUGAGGA